The sequence is an unclassified non-coding RNA, 351 nucleotides long. Its record names the gene 7SK. It matches the Rfam family "7SK RNA". From Rfam's summary of the family: 7SK was discovered as an abundant small nuclear RNA in the mid-70s but a possible function has only recently been suggested. Two independent studies have found that 7SK RNA binds the CDK9/cyclin T complex (known as elongation factor P-TEFb). P-TEFb activates transcription by phosphorylating the C-terminal domain of RNA polymerase II. The record is from Ensembl.
GGAUAUGAGGGUGAUCUGGUUGUGACAUCUGUCACCCCACUGAUCACCGGGGUUGAUUAAGCUGAUCUGGCUGGCUAGGCAGGUGUCCUUUUCCCCUCUCAACAUUCCAUGUGCAUCCUUCCUGAAGCUGCAUCCUCUGUCAAAGAGGACAACCAUAUCUGAUAGAGGAGGACCAGUCUUCAGUUAAGGGUAUAUGCGUAGCUCCGUUUCCCAGCUAGAACCUUCAAACAAGCUCUCAGAAAAUAUCUGGAGUCAAAUGAUGAUGAAAAGACACUUACAAAAUCGAUGGGAUACAGCAGAAGCAGUUCAUAGUGAUACAGGAUUCAUCAGGAAAGAAGAAAAUCUAGAGAU